GUCCUUGAACAGCUUGUGGGCACCGGAAUCUUGGGACAUUCAAUGGCCGCAUCUGUGCAGAUUCUUGGACUAACUUGAAUCAUGAAGUUCUGAUAUCAAAAAUGACAAGUGAAGAAGACAGCAUACAUUUGACAAAGAUGGUGAUCUGAAUCCUGAUGGAGUAAGAGCUGACAAAGGAGAGGUCAGAAAGUCUGUCUCUGCCAAGCCACAGAAUUUGAUGCGCCAGUCAAAAGAACUUGGCAGCAAAAUAUAAGGAAGCUAUAGGGACCCUGUGAGGUGUCACCCACACAUAGAAGAUUGGGUACGGAAAUUUCUCUCCAGUCCUGACACGAAGGGAUGCGAAUAUGUUUGACGUCUUCACUCCCAGGAAUGAAGCCAAACACUUUCUUGAUUCUAUGUCUGAUAAGAAGUCGGGAAUGCUCCUCGGCAGCUUGCUUGAAGAGCAUUCUCUCAUUGUGGAGGUGGUUGGCCCAGUAGUGAUGCUGCAGAGAGGUGAGGGGAGAGCAACAUCUCGCCAGACAUUUAGAGACCAGCUAGGAAUGGGAAGCGUGGAGAAGUACAACUAAACAACAACAACA
RNAcentral lists this long non-coding RNA (578 nucleotides) under Rattus norvegicus (Norway rat). Its description in RNAcentral is "long non-coding RNA NONRATT017363". Lineage: Eukaryota; Metazoa; Chordata; Mammalia; Rodentia; Muridae. The record is from RNAcentral.